CUAUCCAGUGACAAACCUGGGAAGCCGCCGCUCUAAACGACGCCGGGGAGAACGACAGGGAGCAGGUCUCUGACGAGCCUCUGCGUUUUUUGAACCGGGCUCAGGAAAUGUGCAGUACUUGAAUCUACAGGCCCCGUCCAGUUUCAUAGGUACAGGUUGCAAUGGUCCGGCUGCCAGGGCCACGAGCUGCGCCCCACCCUUUGAAAUGUAUAGCGGGAACACGAGGCACUCGGCACUGCAAGCGCUACCAUCAUGCAUGCAUCAAGGUCAACCGCUUCUACGUGAUCAUCUAGGCUGGAAGUUAGCCGCACGUGACGUGUAGACUGCGUCAGCGACGACGACUCCGACUUGCGACAGCACGCGGCGUCGCUGACCCCGGGUGAAGUCUACGCAGGCCAGAGGUAUUCGUGGGUGGCGGUAGACGACGCUGUGGCUCGACAUGGACGCUUGCGAAAGCGCUUAGAGGGGCACAUACUAUCCGGACGCUUCGUGGUGUGCAUGCUUUGAGUGCAUGCUCAACUCGAUCCUGCCUCUAUCUACAUGCGACUGCAGUAGCAUCUGCAGCUUUUAGGGACGCUGCACACGCCCAAAGGAAACCGAGAAUGUCCCUGCAUACCGUGGAGCACGACGCAUACGCGUUGUGCGUCGAUCGGGACAGGGAUGACAGAGGCGAUGCGCUCAACACCAGCCAUAAGCGCACAGGGAGCAAGUCGGGUACGAUAGGGAUGGGUAAUAGGCGUCUCGUGCGGCGAAGCCAAGAACGAUGUCGAUCAAGCGGUCACGAAAUGGAAGCGUUCGCACGCCCCAGACUGGGGCCUGAUCAGUGUGUGGCAUCGCUUUCGAUAGAACAUUGCGUACAAGGCGGAAUAACGUGAUACCGCUCUAGUGCAUCAGGUUGGAUGCAUCAUGUGAACAAGCGAGAGAGAGAGACAGAAGCGACGCAUUCCUGAGCAGACGCGAGCGCCAGUCCCGAGAUUCCCUGAUGAAUCUUCAUCGAGAGUCGGUAAUGCUCCACUGUGCAUCUUGAAAAAGAAUAGGUUGACGCAUGCACGAAUAUCAUCCACGCUACGCAAGUGGCAUCGUUGAACCAUUCGCGUUGUUGCUGGGCGACAGCUCAUGUCGCGAAGCGGUUACGCUGAAGCAGCGAGUGGGAGGCAGCUCCGCAGCUUUGGGUGCCUCAACCUUCGCAGAUGCAAGUUCACACACGCAAGCUCAGCGCCACUGAAAGCAAACCGCGAACAUCGAGCCUAGGACGGGUGUUUGGGGUCGAAAGCCCCUCGCAGCGAACCUCGCUGUUGGCUCCGAACACCAAAACGACGGUACGUGAAACCAAGGAACGACGCGUCGCCCUCUCCUAGAGCGUGCAGGUCUCGAUACGAGUACCGAAGAAAAGGCUGCAUUCGAAGCUGCUCCCGAAAGAUUUUACGCGAACCCCGGAGCUCGCCUUGUUUGCGACUUGCUGGGUCCGCGUUCAGCGGGAACGCUCUUGUCGUGGGUGUCCUCGAGGCUGUCGAUGACCUGGCGUUCGUCGAAGUCAACGAGGCGUCCGCUUGGGCGCCCUCAAUGUCAACUACACGGGGCACCUGUUGGGGCUUUCGCUGAUCAGCAGGCGGCAGCGUGACAGCUGGUCGCGGGCGUGCUGGGCUCGCCAGAGUGUUCGCGGGUGCAGUGCUCCGCGGUUCAGUGCCGGUGCGUCCCGCAGGCGGUACAGUGGCCUUGGCUUCCUGGCUUUUUGGGUGCGUAUCGUCCUCGAAGUGGUCAAAGUAGCGAGUAUCGGCAUCAUGACUGAGUUCGGGCACGAACGGUGCCCGCAUCUCUCGCAUGCGAUUCCAGUCAAAGCCGUGGAAAAAGGGAUGACGUUUGAAGUCCUCGAGACCUUCGCGGGCGCCCAACCUGUUUUCGGGAUCUGUCAAGAGAGAACGGAUGAGGUCUUUGGCUGCUGGAGACACGUUCGGUCUCGCGGGGAACUGCAACGUCGUGCGCCAAUUGAGUAUUUUGCGACAAGUCUCCACGGAGUUUUCCGAAUAAAAGGCCGGAUAUCCGUAGAGCAUUUCGAAGAUGAUGACACCCAGACUCCACCAGUCACACUCCUUGCCGUAACCCCUCUUCAUGAGCACUUCGGGUGCGAUGUAGUCCGGAGUGCCGACCGUGGAAAACAUGCGGCGUCGUAGACCGCGUCGCCAGGAGCCUUUGCGUUCUGCCUCGCUCAUAGCUGCGAUACGAUCCCCGCCGGUAUACGUCAGAUCUGCGCCCGGUUCCAACAACGGCGCCAUGCCGUAGACUUGCAGCUCAUAGGCCGCAGCGAGUCCAAAGUCGGAUAAUCGAAUGUGACCAUCCUUCGCGAUAAGAAUAUUGUCAGGUUUGAUGUCGCGGUGAGUAAAUCCUAGACGA
Cyanidioschyzon merolae strain 10D is the source of this 2391-nucleotide RNA transcript. RefSeq lists it as hypothetical. The record is from RefSeq and is a predicted model, not a curated record. The transcript has a single exon. NCBI's taxonomy places the organism in Eukaryota, Rhodophyta, Bangiophyceae, Cyanidiales, Cyanidiaceae.